Ribosomal RNA from Alligator mississippiensis (American alligator), 109 nucleotides. The record is from Rfam. Lineage: Eukaryota; Metazoa; Chordata; Crocodylia; Alligatoridae.
GCCUACAGCCAGUCUGGACUGAGUGCACCUGAUCUUGGAAACUAAGCAGUUCUGGGCCUGGCUAGUACUUGGAUGGGAGACUGCCUGGAAAUCCCAGGUGCUGUAGGCA